UGGGUUGACACGAUUGCAUACCAAAUAUUGUAAUAUGCGCACGCAGCGUCUACGUCUAAUAGCAUAGAUCUCUUCCGCAAAACAAAUGCAUCAAGGACGAAGUUAGCUGACAGGACAACCAAGGGUUUAACAUUUUGACGCGAAAUCUACAAAGCCCGUAUGCAUGAUCGAUGGCACCACAAAACAGUCACAAAGAGGUGGCAUUUUAGAAGACAGGGCGGACCCGCACAUUGAGAAUGGCCAUUCUGGAAUUUCGUUCGUCGCAGGAGAAGAGGUGUUCGCCCAUUCAAUCAGCUUCCUAAGCGACAGAAGCUUCUGCUUGUAAAUUAAAACGUAAUAUGACAACUUUCAUUACCUUAAUUCAAGAGCAAAAAAGCAUUUGGCAUUUCAGUCUUCAACGAUUCUGGUACGAGGGGAAUGAUCGCUACAUUCCAUUGGAGCAAGUGCAGAGGGAAAAAUUGAUAUUGGCUUUUGAGUGAUAUUUAAUGGUAUUCACUUUAAAAUCGAGGGCGUUCGGGAUAUUUCGAUAAAACUCUCCAAACACCCUUCAAAACAUGAAGAAAGUAUCUAUGAUUUAUGGGAAAUGCAAUAGCUUUCAAGAUUUGGGAUGCUCGUAAAAGAAAAUUCAAAAGUUGGGUGAUAUACAUAUUAAACUGUUUGGUAACGAUGUCUGACACAAGACAAGAAAAACAUUCGACGACAUUGAUCUUAUAAAGCAUGAAUCAAAAACCA
This is a long non-coding RNA of Ostrea edulis (European flat oyster), 732 nucleotides long. RefSeq lists it as uncharacterized. The record is from RefSeq and is a predicted model, not a curated record. Lineage: Eukaryota; Metazoa; Mollusca; Bivalvia; Ostreida; Ostreidae. The transcript has 3 exons.